AGCCGGGUCCCGCGCAACGGCCAGCCGUGAACUCCGUCAGGCCCGGAAGGGAGCAGCGGCAGCGGCAUGCGUCGUGUGCCGCGGGGGUGCCUGGCUGUC
RNAcentral lists this signal recognition particle RNA (99 nucleotides) under Deltaproteobacteria bacterium. Its description in RNAcentral is "signal recognition particle sRNA small type". It matches the Rfam family "Bacterial small signal recognition particle RNA". Rfam says of the family: The signal recognition particle (SRP) is a universally conserved ribonucleoprotein involved in the co-translational targeting of proteins to membranes. The record is from RNAcentral. Lineage: Bacteria; Pseudomonadati; Myxococcota; Myxococcia.